GACGAACGCUGGCGGCGUGCUUAACACAUGCAAGUGGAGCGACGAACCAGGGCUUGCCCUGGGGCAGAGCCGCGAACGGGUGAGUAACACGUGGGUAACGUGCCCCGAUGACUGGGACAACCCGGGGAAACCCGGGCUAAUACCGGAUGUGCCCCCUCACAUCAGUGAGGUGUGUAAAGGAAGCUUCGGCCUCCGCAUCGGGAUCGGCCCGCGGCCCAUUAGCUUGUUGGUGAGGUAACGGCUCACCAAGGCUGCGAUGGGUAGCUGGUCUGAGAGGACGAUCAGCCACACUGGGACUGAGACACGGCCCAGACUCCUACGGGAGGCAGCAGUGGGGAAUCUUGCGCAAAGCGCGAAAGCGUGACGCAGCAACGCCGCGUGGGGGAAGACGGCCUUCGGGUUGUAAACUCCUUUCAGUUGGGACGAAGGUCGGGCGGUUAACAGCCGUUCCGGCUGACGGUACCUUCACAAGAAGCCCCGGCUAACUACGUG
This 492-nucleotide ribosomal RNA is filed under the name uncultured bacterium. RNAcentral describes it as "partial 16S ribosomal RNA". It matches the Rfam family "Bacterial small subunit ribosomal RNA", at positions 28 to 507 of the family's 1533-position model. The record is from RNAcentral.